GGCGGUUAUUUAAGCCAGAUGUGAAAUCCCCGAGCUCAACUUGGGACGUGCAUUUGGAACUGGGUAACUUGAGUGUGUCAGAGGGGGGUAGAAUUCCACGUGUAGCAGUGAAAUGCGUAGAGAUGUGGAGGAAUACCGAUGGCGAAGGCAGCCCCCUGGGAUAACACUGACGCUCAUACUCGAAAGCGUGGGUAGCAAACAGGAUUAGAUACCCUGGUAGUCCACGCCCUAAACGAUGUCAAUUAGCUGUUGGGGGAUUAAAGGCCCUUGGUAGCGUAGCUAACGCGUGAAAUUGACCGCCUGGGGAGUACGGUCGCAAGAUUAAAACUCAAAGGAAUUGACGGGGACCCGCACAAGCGGUGGAUGAUGUGGAUUAAUUCGAUGCAACGCGAAAAACCUUACCUAGCCUUGACAUGUACGGAAUUCCGAUGAAAGUUGGAAGUGCCUUCGGGAACCGUAACACAGGUGCUGCAUGGCUGUCGUCAGCUCGUGUCGUGAGAUGUUGGGUUAAGUCCCGCAACGAGCGCAACCCUUGUCAUUAGUUGCCAGCAUUCAGUUGGGCACUCUAAUGAGACUGCCGGUGACAAACCGGAGGAAGGUGGGGAUGAUGUCAAGUCCUCAUGGCCCUUAUGGCUAGGGCUUCACACGUCAUACAAUGGUCGGUACAGAGGGUAGCGAAGCCGCGAGGUGGAGCCAAUCUCAGAAAGCCGAUCGUAGUCCGGAUCGCACUCUGCAACUCGAGUGCGUGAAGUCGGAAUC
This 759-nucleotide ribosomal RNA is filed under the name uncultured bacterium. Its description in RNAcentral is "bacterial SSU rRNA". It matches the Rfam family "Bacterial small subunit ribosomal RNA", at positions 574 to 1333 of the family's 1533-position model. The record is from RNAcentral.